GCCACAUGAUGUGAUGUAGAUUGCAUUAGCAUUAUUGCAAAGAUGACUGUCCAUCUAUCACCCAGGACUGAUGGCU
This is a small nucleolar RNA of Megalobrama amblycephala (Wuchang bream), 76 nucleotides long. RefSeq annotates it as small nucleolar RNA SNORD83. Lineage: Eukaryota; Metazoa; Chordata; Actinopteri; Cypriniformes; Xenocyprididae. The transcript has a single exon. The record is from RefSeq and is a predicted model, not a curated record.